UCCGACGCAACGCGAAGAACCUUACCUGGGCUCGAAAUGCAGUGGAAGCAGGAUGAAAGUCCGGUGCCCGCAAGGGCCGCUGUAUAGGUGCUGCAUGGCUGUCGUCAGCUCGUGUCGUGAGAUGUUGGGUUAAGUCCCGCAACGAGCGCAACCCUCAUCUUUAGUUGCCAGGCCGCAAGGCGGCACUCUAAAGAAACUGUCGGCCACAAGCCGAAGGAAGGUGGGGAUGACGUUAGUGACCUUUGC
Molecule: unclassified non-coding RNA, 246 nt
Filed under: uncultured Acidobacteriota bacterium
Lineage: Bacteria; Pseudomonadati; Acidobacteriota
Description: uncultured Acidobacteria bacterium contains 16S-23S intergenic spacer region
Rfam family: Bacterial small subunit ribosomal RNA
Source: RNAcentral